Molecule: transfer RNA, 75 nt
Filed under: Schistocerca americana (American grasshopper)
Lineage: Eukaryota; Metazoa; Arthropoda; Insecta; Orthoptera; Acrididae
Description: tRNA-Leu
Rfam family: tRNA
About the family: Transfer RNA (tRNA) molecules are approximately 80 nucleotides in length. Their secondary structure includes four short double-helical elements and three loops (D, anti-codon, and T loops).
Source: RNAcentral
GCUUGGGUAGCUCAGUUGGUAGAGCACUUGCCCGCAGAAGGCAAAGGUCCCGAGUUCGAGUCUCGGUCCGGGACA